GGAAAAGAAACUAACAAGGAUUCCCCUAGUAACUGCGAGUGAAGCGGGAAGAGCUCAAAUUUAAAAUCUGGCGGUCUCUGGCCGUCCGAGUUGUAACCUGUAGAGGCAUUUUCUGCGUUGGACCGUGUACAAGUCUCCUGGAAUGGAGCGUCAUAGAGGGUGAGAAUCCCGUCCAUGACACGGACUGCCAAUGCUUUGUGAUAUGCCUUCGAAGAGUCGCGUUGUUUGGGAAUGCAGCGCAAAAUGGGUGGUAAAUUCCAUCUAAAGCUAAAUAUUGGCGAGAGACCGAUAGCGAACAAGUACCGUGAGGGAAAGAUGAAAAGCACUUUGGAAAGAGAGUUAAACAGUACGUGAAAUUGUUGAAAGGGAAACGCUUGAAGUCAGUCGCGUCUCAUGGAACUCAGCCUUGCUUUGGCCUGGUGUACUUUUCAUGUGGACGGGUCAACAUCAAUUUUGGCCGGUGGACAAAGGUGAGGGGAAUGUAGCGUUGUUUCGGCGACGUGUUAUAGCCCCUUGUCAUAUACACUGACUGGGAUUGAGGACUGCAGCACGCCCUUGUGGCCGGGGGUUCGCCCUACGUACCGUGCUUAGGAUGUUGGCAUAAUGGCYUUAAGCGACCCGUCUUGAAACACGGACCAAGGAGUCUAACAUGCUUGCGAGUGUUUGGGUGGAAAACCCUUGCGCGUAAUGAAAGUGAAAGUUAGGAUCCUUCGCAAGAGGGUGCACUGACGCCCGGCCCUGACGUUCUCUGACGGUGCUGCGGUAGAGCAAGUAUGUUGGGACCCGAAAGAUGGUGAACUAUGCCUGAAUAGGGCGAAGCCAGAGGAAACUCUGGUGGAGGCUCGUAGCGAUUCUGACGUGCAAAUCGAUCGUCAAAUUUGGGUAUAGGGGCGAAAGACUAAUCGAACCA
This 910-nucleotide ribosomal RNA is filed under the name Fulvifomes jouzaii. RNAcentral describes it as "partial large subunit ribosomal RNA". It matches the Rfam family "Eukaryotic large subunit ribosomal RNA", at positions 55 to 942 of the family's 3401-position model. Lineage: Eukaryota; Fungi; Basidiomycota; Agaricomycetes; Hymenochaetales; Hymenochaetaceae. The record is from RNAcentral.